GACGAACGCUGGCGGCGUGCCUAAUACAUGCCAGUCGAGCGGACGGAUGGGAGCUUGCUCCCAGACCGUCAGCGGCGGACGGGUGAGUAACACGUGGGCAACCUGCCUGUAAGGCUGGGAUAACUCCGGGAAACCGGGGCUAAUACCGGAUAACUCUUUCCCUCCCAUGAGGGAAAGCUGAAAGAUGGCAUCUCGCUAUCACUUACAGAUGGGCCCGCGGCGCAUUAGCUAGUUGGUGAGGUAACGGCUCACCAAGGCGACGAUGCGUAGCCGACCUGAGAGGGUGAUCGGCCACACUGGAACUGAGACACGGCCCAGACUCCUACGGGAGGCAGCAGUAGGGAAUCUUCCGCAAUGGACGAAAGUCUGACGGAGCAACGCCGCGUGAGUGAUGAAGGUUUUCGGAUCGUAAAACUCUGUUGUCAGGGAAGAACAAGUACCGGAGCAACUGCCGGUACCUUGACGGUACCUGACCAGAAAGCCGCGGCUAACUACGUG
This 498-nucleotide ribosomal RNA is filed under the name uncultured bacterium. Its description in RNAcentral is "partial 16S ribosomal RNA". It matches the Rfam family "Bacterial small subunit ribosomal RNA", at positions 28 to 507 of the family's 1533-position model. The record is from RNAcentral.